This 440-nucleotide ribosomal RNA is filed under the name uncultured bacterium. RNAcentral's name for it is "partial 16S ribosomal RNA". It matches the Rfam family "Bacterial small subunit ribosomal RNA", at positions 338 to 795 of the family's 1533-position model. The record is from RNAcentral.
CCUACGGGUGGCAGCAGUGGGGAAUAUUGCACAAUGGGGGAAACCCUGAUGCAGCGACGCCGCGUGAGUGAGGAAGUAUUUCGGUACGUAAAGCUCUAUCAGCAGGGAAGAAAAUGACGGUACCUGACUAAGAAGCCCCGGCUAACUACGUGCCAGCAGCCGCGGUAAUACGUAGGGGGCAAGCGUUAUCCGGAUUUACUGGGUGUAAAGGGAGCGUAGACGGCAGAGCAAGUCAGAAGUGAAAUGCCGGGGCUCAACCCUGGCACUGCUCUUGAAACUGUGUAGCUAGAGUGCAGGAGAGGUAAGCGGAAUUCCUGGUGUAGCGGUGAAAUGCGUAGAUAUUAGGAGGAACACCAGUGGCGAAGGCGGCUUACUGGACUGUAACUGACGUUGAGGCUCGAAGGCGUGGGGAGCAAACAGGAUUAGAUACCCGAGUAGUC